GGUGUUUUUUUUUUGUUUUUUUUUUUUUUGCAAUUUACAUACAUUAUAGACACGGUAUCAUCGUCAUCUCUUCUCACAUCUUCAUUCAUUCCUUCUCUCUUUAUUUUCGCUCUGGCAGUGUUUUGGCGUCAAGUUGUGUCAAACCAUUCCGUACAAUUUGUUUGUUUUGUUCAGACAAGUUUAUCAUUAACAAGUAUUUACGUAAUAUUAACUGAAACUCAUUCAUCAAACAUCCCAUUAGCUCAAACGAAACAUAGCUCUCACGUACUGAACACAAUGGACAGGCGGACAAGAGACAAGAGGACAGGAGAAGGCUGAUAAUAAGCUGAUAAAUUAUAGCAGUCAUAUUUAGUUAUGCACAAUCUCAAUCUGAAUCUGAAUUUGAAUGUGAAUCUAAAUCUGAAUAGGAAUCGGAAUCGGCAUAGAACUCCUGUAUAUUCUGUAUAUCUAUCUGUUGAACACAAUGCAAUACGAAUCCAAUUUCCAAUCAUGAACAACUCAAAGCCGCUCUCUGCUUUCUUUUUACCAUUUUCCCUUUUAGUU
Molecule: long non-coding RNA, 543 nt
Organism: Drosophila arizonae
Lineage: Eukaryota; Metazoa; Arthropoda; Insecta; Diptera; Drosophilidae
Source: RefSeq, a predicted model, not a curated record